GGAGCAGUGGUUCCGCAAGGUUCCGUUGUGGAAACCGGCGAACGGGUGCGUAACACGUGAGAAACCUGCCCCUUAGACCGGAAUAGCCCGAGGAAACUCGGAUUAAUGCCGGAUACUCUCUAUGGAUCGCAUGAUCCGUUGAGGAAAUGGUCCGCCGCUAAGGGAUGGUCUCGCGGCCUAUCAGCUUGUUGGUGAGGUAACGGCUCACCAAGGCUAAGACGGGUAGCUGGUCUGAGAGGACGAUCAGCCACACUGGAACUGAGACACGGUCCAGACUCCUACGGGAGGCAGCAGCAGGGAAUAUUGCACAAUGGGCGAAAGCCUGAUGCAGCGACACCGCGUGCGGGAUGAAUGCCUUCGGGUUGUAAACCGCUUUCAGGAGGGAAGAAAAUGACGGUACCUCCAGAAGAAGCUCCGGCCAACUACGUGCCAGCAGCCGCGGUAAUACGUAGGGAGCAAACGUUGUCCGGAUUUAUUGGGCGUAAAGGGCUCGUAGGCGGUUCAACAAGUCGGUCGUGAAAGCCCGGGGCUCAACCCCGGGACGCCGGUCGAAACUGUUGUGACUAGAGUUCGGUAGAGGUGAGUGGAAUUCUCGGUGUAGCGGUGGAAUGCGCAGAUAUCGAGAGGAACACCAUUAGCGAAGGCGGCUCACUGGGCCGAUACUGACGCUGAGGAGCGAAAGCGUG
This 686-nucleotide ribosomal RNA is filed under the name uncultured bacterium. Its description in RNAcentral is "bacterial SSU rRNA". It matches the Rfam family "Bacterial small subunit ribosomal RNA", at positions 59 to 763 of the family's 1533-position model. The record is from RNAcentral.